UUCUAAUAGCUCGAUUGGUGCCUAGAAAUUCAUCAGGGAUGAUGUACAAUUGGCUCUACUUUUUUUUUAAGCACUUGAGUGUAAUAAGGAUAAAGGGGAAAGGAGAAAUUCAAUCUGAUGCUCUAACAAUGCAAUAUAAUACUUGAAAUUCCAUCUCUUGUAUUGCCGUCAAAAUCUUGAUUGAGAUAAAUGUAAUUCAAG
Molecule: long non-coding RNA, 201 nt
Filed under: Setaria italica (foxtail millet)
Lineage: Eukaryota; Viridiplantae; Streptophyta; Magnoliopsida; Poales; Poaceae
Description: long non-coding RNA (SITA_LNC000492)
Source: RNAcentral